UCACAACAAAUCAAAAAUUCAAAAGCUUUGACAACGAAAUCCCUCCUAUUUGCUUUCAGCUCAGCCCAGUAUUUAUAUCUCAAAUUAAAGAGACUCAGAACAAAAGUUCAGAGUAAAGCCCAAGAAGGUAAAAGCUCUAAAGGAUCAGUUUUUCCAAGGCUACCUUGUCUGCUCGACUCUCUCUGAAACGGGUUUGAUUGGAUUGGAAAUAGCAGAAUAAAAGAUGGGAGAUAGAGAAAUAGAUCGGCGUACCGCUGAAGAAGACGAUCGGAGUUGUAAAAGGUAAUUGCUCCUCUUAUGCAGCAUGCAACCGACCAAGUUUGGGAGGUUAGAUUAUGUUAAAAGAUCUACUCGGCUGGACAGGUACCAUUGCCCAGAUCGUGAGAACCCCGCUGAGAUUUUAGCUGAUCUUAUAUCUGUUGACUACAGCUUUGCUGAAAGUGUCUACUCCUCUCAGAAAAGAAAGAUGCUCUUGUUGAAUCAUUUUCACAACAAUCAUCACUAGUUCUGUAUGCAACUUCGAUUACAUUAAGGGAAAUCUCCAAGAACAGCACCGGGUUGAGCAUGAAGAGUAGAGUUUAGAAGAAGGGAGGUUGGUGGAGGCAAUUCUGGUUGCUCCUAAGGCUUGCGUGGAUGCAGGUAAAUUUUUACUAGCAUGCUUCAUAGUUACUUUCAUCAAAAUAGAAUUCAACAUUACUAAUAUCAUAGUUGCUUCAUAGUUACUGGAUCAAAUCAUUGAGGUUUUGUGAGCUCCCCAUUUCUCUUUAAUUUUGGGUUCAAUUUGGAAAUUACCUCACUUAAUGGUUGUCUUUUGUCAUGCUAUGUCUAUGUAUACACUGAUUAUACAGUGAAUCAAGUUGUAGACUUCAUGAUUUUCUUCUGUCAAUAGGUAAUUAUAGUGUAAUAACCAGUGAAUUAAGUUAAUGUUACCCUAAGUUGUAUUGGUCUGGCUUAAAUUGCAGCCUAAGCAGGGUGGCUUCCUUAUACAGGUUUUGCAUUUCCUUUUUUUCUUUUCAUAUGGCAAACAAAGGGAAAUGAAAGGUAAAUCAUAUGUCCUGCUUUUUAUAAAUGAAACUGUGAAUUGAUUAGACCACAGUGCAGUACUAAACCAACUUGAACUGAUCGGGCACUAUAGCCUUGAACGGAUCGAUUGUCAUUUUCAGGAGGAUAUGGGGCAGAUGCAGACAAUGAUUCAACUACCUUUUGUAACUUUCAGUAUGCUAAAGAACAGCUUGAGUAAUUCAUGGUUUGUUCGAUUCAACAUAGUAUAAGUAUGUUAUGUGAUUUGGUGUAGUUUAUGUAUACCAAACUGGAAUGUUUAUGAGUGGCAUUUUGUAUGUUUAUGACAUUUUGUAUUGCACAAUUUCAUUACAAUAUUAAUAUAUCUUAAUAACUUUUGCA
Molecule: long non-coding RNA, 1401 nt
Organism: Rosa rugosa (rugosa rose)
Lineage: Eukaryota; Viridiplantae; Streptophyta; Magnoliopsida; Rosales; Rosaceae
Exons: 3
Source: RefSeq, a predicted model, not a curated record